GACGAACGCUGGCGGCGUGCUUAACACAUGCAAGUCGAACGGAAAGGCCCUGCUUUUGUGGGGUGCGCGAGUGGCGAACGGGGGAGUAACACGUGAGUAACCUGCCCUUGUCUGUGGGAGACAUCCAGGGAAAAGGGGUUAAUACAGGAUAGGAGCUCCUGCUGCAUGGGGGGGGUGGGAGAGUGUCGGCGGUUGGGGAUGGACUCGCGGCUUAUCAGCUUGUUGGGGGGGUAGUGGCUUACCAAGGCUUGGACGGGUAGGCCGCCUGAGAGGGUGACCGGCCACACUGAGACUGAGAUACGGCCCAGAAACCUACGGGUGGCAGCAGUGGGGAAUAUUGCACGAUGGGCGGAAGGCUGAUGCAGCAGCGCCGCGUGCGGGAUGACGGCCUUCGGGUUGUAAACCGCUUGCGCCUGUGACGAAGCGUUAGUGACGGUAAUGGGUAAAGAAGAGCCGGCUAACUACGUG
This 468-nucleotide ribosomal RNA is filed under the name uncultured bacterium. Its description in RNAcentral is "partial 16S ribosomal RNA". It matches the Rfam family "Bacterial small subunit ribosomal RNA", at positions 28 to 507 of the family's 1533-position model. The record is from RNAcentral.